This 1948-nucleotide ribosomal RNA is filed under the name human gut metagenome. RNAcentral's name for it is "bacterial LSU rRNA". It matches the Rfam family "Bacterial large subunit ribosomal RNA", at positions 1 to 1988 of the family's 2925-position model. The record is from RNAcentral.
UCAAGCAAUAAGGGCACAGGGCGGAUGCCUUGGCACUAAGAGCCGAUGAAAGACGUGAUAAGCUGCGAUAAGCUUCGGGGAGGAGCAAAUAUCCAUUGAUCCGGAGAUGUCUGAAUGGGGAAACCCACAUGAGCAAACCUCAUGUAUCCUACAGCCAAUACAUAACUGUAGGAAGGGAACCCGGGGAACUGAAACAUCUAAGUACCCGGAGGAAAAGAAAGAAAACUCGAUUCCGUAAGUAGCGGCGAGCGAACGCGGAGGAGCCUAAACCGGAAUGCGUGCAUUCCGGGGUUACGGACUGCAUUUAAGAUUCUUUGAAGCUAACAGAACGGUUUUGGGAAAGCCGGCCGCAGAGGGUGAAAGCCCCGUACGUGAAAGCUGAUGAGACUGAGCAGGAUCCAGAGUACCACGAGACACGUGGAACCUUGUGGGAAAUCAGGGGGACCACCCCCUAAGGCUAAAUACUACUUAGUGACCGAUAGCGCAUAGUACUGUGAAGGAAAGGUGAAAAGGACCCCGGGAGGGGAGUGAAAGAGAACCUGAAACCCUGUGUCUACAAGCUGUGGAAGCACUUUAUAUGUGCGACCGCGUACUUUUUGUAGAACGGUCCGGCGAGUUACGCUUACUGGCAAGGUUAAGCACUUCAGGUGCGGAGCCGUAGGGAAACCAAGUCUUAAGAGGGCCAGAGUCAGUAGGAGUAGACCCGAAACCGGGUGAUCUAUCCAUGUCCAGGUUGAAGCUGCCGUAAGAGGUAGUGGAGGACCGAACCCACAUCCGUUGAAAAGGGUGGGGAUGAGGUGUGGAUAGGGGAGAAAUUCCAAUCGAACCCGGAGAUAGCUGGUUCUCCUCGAAAUAGCUUUAGGGCUAGCCUCGAUACAGAUUUGCGGAGGUAGAGCACUGAAUUUCCUAGGGGGCGUCAAAGCCUACCGAAGAAUAUCAAACUCCGAAUGCCGCGUAAUCGAUUAUCGGGAGUCAGACUGCACGAGAUAAGUUGGGCGGUCAAAAGGGAAAGAGCCCAGACCUUCAGUUAAGGUCCCCAAGUGCGCGUUAAGUGGAAAAGGAUGUGGGAUUUCGAAGACAACCAGGAUGUUGGCUCAGAAGCAGCCAUCCAUUCAAAGAGUGCGUAAUAGCUCACUGGUCGAGAGGUCCUGCGCCGAAAAUGUCCGGGGCUGAAACGCGCCACCGAAACUAAGGAACCGAAAGGUUGGUAGAGGAGCAUUGCAUGCGGGAAGAAGCAGUACCGUAAGGAGCUGUGGACUGCAUGGAAGAGAGAAUGCCGGAAUGAGUAGCGAGAAUAAGGUGGGAAUCCUUAUGGCCGAAUAUCCAAGGUUUCCAGAGUAAAGCUGAUCUGCUCUGGGUAAGUCGGGGCCUAAGGCGAGGACGAGAGUCGUAGCCGAUGGACAACAGGUGGAGAUUCCUGUACUGCGGUAUGACAGAACUGUGGGGACACGUAAGGAAAGCGGAAGCCGGGAAUGGAAAGCCCGGUGCAAGCGGGGUACCAGUCACUUUGGCAAAUCCGGGUGGCAAUGGGAAGCCGUGAUGCGGAGCGAAAUAAAGUAGCGAAGUCCGUGAGCCAUGCGUCAAGAAAAGCCGCUAUCGUUUAUACCGUACCCGUACCGUAAACCGACACAGGUGGAUGAGGAGAGAAUCCUAAGGCCGGCGGAAGAAGCAUUGUCAAGGAACUCGGCAAAAUGGCCCCGUAACUUAGGGAUAAGGGGUGCCUGGGAAACCAGGCCGCAGAGAAUAGGCUCAAGCAACUGUUUAGCAAAAACACAGGUCUAUGCGAAACCGAAAGGUGAGGUAUAUGGGCUGACGCCUGCCCGGUGCUGGAAGGUUAAGAGGAGAGGUUAGCGGUAACGCGAAGCUUUGAAUUUAAGCCCCAGUAAACGGCGGCCGUAACUAUAACGGUCCUAAGGUAGCGAAAUUCCUUGUCGGGUAAGUUCCGACC